GUUCUUUGGUGUUUCUAGCGGCGGACGGGUGAGUAACGCGUGAGCAUCUGUCUCAGACAGGGGGAUAACGCAGCGAAAGUUGCACUAAUACCGCAUAAGGCCACAUGGCCAAAGGAGCAAUCCGGUCUGAGGUGAGCUCGCGUCCCAUUAGGUAGUUGGUGAGGUAACGGCCCACCAAGCCUGCGAUGGGUAGCCGACCUGAGAGGGUGAUCGGCCACACUGGAACUGAGACACGGUCCAGACUCCUACGGGAGGCAGCAGUGGGGAAUAUUGGGCAAUGGGGGAAACCCUGACCCAGCAACGCCGCGUGAGGGAAGAAGGUUUUCGGAUUGUAAACCUCUGUCCUAAGAGAAGAGGGAGACGGUAUCUUAGGAGGAAGCCCCGGCUAACUACGUGCCAGCAGCCGCGGUAAUACGUAGGGGGCGAGCGUUGUCCGGAAUGAUUGGGCGUAAAGGGCGUGUAGGCGGCUUUAUAAGUCUGGAGUGAAAGUCCUGUUUUCAAGAUGGGAAUUGCUUUGGAUACUGUAGGGCUUGAGUGCAGGAGAGGUUAUCGGAAUUCCCGGUGUAGCGGUGAAAUGCGUAGAGAUCGGGAGGAACACCAGUGGCGAAGGCGGGUAACUGGACUGCAACUGACGCUGAGGCGCGAAAGUGUGGGGAG
This 657-nucleotide ribosomal RNA is filed under the name uncultured bacterium. RNAcentral describes it as "bacterial SSU rRNA". It matches the Rfam family "Bacterial small subunit ribosomal RNA", at positions 78 to 768 of the family's 1533-position model. The record is from RNAcentral.